Molecule: small nuclear RNA, 103 nt
Organism: Cynocephalus volans (Philippine flying lemur)
Lineage: Eukaryota; Metazoa; Chordata; Mammalia; Dermoptera; Cynocephalidae
Source: RefSeq, a predicted model, not a curated record
GCUCUCUUCAGCAGCACACAUACUAAAAUUGGAAUUACACAGAUAAGAUUAGCAUGGCCCCUGAGAGGAUGACAUGUAAAUUUGAAACACAUUUCGUAUUUUU